CUGACCUCAAAUCAGGUAGGACUACCCGCUGAACUUAAGCAUAUCAAUAAGCGGAGGAAAAGAAACUAACAAGGAUUCCCCUAGUAACUGCGAGUGAAGCGGGAAAAGCUCAAAUUUAAAAUCUGGCAGUUUUGGCUGUCCGAGUUGUAGUCUAGAGAAGUGUUUUCCGCGCUGGACCGUGUACAAGUCUCUUGGAACAGAGCGUCAUAGAGGGUGAGAAUCCCGUCUUUGACACGGACUACCAGUGCUUUGUGAUGCGCUCUCAAAGAGUCGAGUUGUUUGGGAAUGCAGCUCAAAAUGGGUGGUAAAUUCCAUCUAAAGCUAAAUAUUGGCGAGAGACCGAUAGCGAACAAGUACCGUGAGGGAAAGAUGAAAAGCACUUUGGAAAGAGAGUUAAACAGUACGUGAAAUUGCUGAAAGGGAAACGCUUGAAGUCAGUCGCGUUAGCUAGAACUCAGCCUGGCUUGCCAGGUGCAUUUUCUAGUUGACGGGCCAGCAUCAGUUUUGAC
RNAcentral lists this ribosomal RNA (509 nucleotides) under Phanerochaetaceae sp. RNAcentral's name for it is "eukaryotic LSU rRNA". It matches the Rfam family "Eukaryotic large subunit ribosomal RNA", at positions 1 to 512 of the family's 3401-position model. The record is from RNAcentral. Lineage: Eukaryota; Fungi; Basidiomycota; Agaricomycetes; Polyporales; Phanerochaetaceae.